UGAUCAAUCUCUAGUGCAGGAGAUCCAACAGUCCCUGAGAUCAGGAAGUCUCUCCACAGAUGAACUGUCUCCUGCUCAGUGGUCAGCUCUGGUCUUCAUCUUACUGUCAUCAGAAAAAGAUCUGGAAGUGUUUGACCUAAAGAAAUACUCUGCUGCAGAGGAGGCUCUUCUGAAGCUGCUGCCAGUGGUCAAAGCCUCCAACAAAGCUUUAUUGAAUGGCUGUAACCUUACAGGGAGAAGCUGUAAAGAUCUGUCCUCUGAUCUCAACUUCCAGUCUUCCAGUCUCAGAGAACUGGACCUAAGUAAUAAUGACCUGCGGGAUUCAGGAGUGAGGCUUUUCUCUGCAGGACUGAAAAAUCCACAUUGUAAACUGGAAUCUCUCAGUCUGUCAGGCUGUCUGAUCACAGAGGAAGGCUGUACUUCUCUGGCCUCAGCUCUGAGCUC
Long non-coding RNA from Oreochromis niloticus (Nile tilapia), 444 nucleotides. RefSeq lists it as uncharacterized. The transcript has 3 exons. Lineage: Eukaryota; Metazoa; Chordata; Actinopteri; Cichliformes; Cichlidae. The record is from RefSeq and is a predicted model, not a curated record.